GUGCUAACUUCGGCAGCACAUAUACUAAAAUUGUAACGAUUUUAAAUUCUGAUUAGCAUGGCCCCUGAGCAAGGAUGACAUGCAAAUUCAUAAAGCAUUCCAAAUUUUG
Molecule: small nuclear RNA, 109 nt
Organism: Nycticebus coucang (slow loris)
Lineage: Eukaryota; Metazoa; Chordata; Mammalia; Primates; Lorisidae
Source: RefSeq, a predicted model, not a curated record